This 449-nucleotide ribosomal RNA is filed under the name Chilo partellus. RNAcentral describes it as "partial 16S ribosomal RNA". The record is from RNAcentral. Lineage: Eukaryota; Metazoa; Arthropoda; Insecta; Lepidoptera; Crambidae.
UGACUGUACAAAGGUAGCAUAAUCAAUAGUCUCUUAAUUGGUGACUUGAAUGAAAGAUUGGAUGAAAUAUAUACUGUCUCUUUAAUAAUAAUAGAAUUUAAUUUUUUAAUUAAAAAGUUAAAAUAAAUUUAAAAGACGAGAAGACCCCAUAGAGUUUUAUAUAUUUGUUAAUUAAUAUUAUUUAUAAAUUAAUAAAAUUAAAAUUAAUUUGAUAUAUUAUAUUGGGGUGAUAAAAAAAUUUAUUUAACUUUUUUUUUUAAAUUAACAUAAAUAAGUGACUAAUAAUGAUCCAAAAUUUUUGAUUAUAAGAUAAAAUUACCUUGGGGAUAACAGCGUAAUUUUUUUUUUUAGUUCGAAUAAAAAAAAAAGUUUGCGACCUCGAUGUUGGAUUAAGAUAAAAUUUAAAUGCAAAAGUUUAAAAUUUUGAUCUGUUCGAUCAUUAAAAUCUU